RNAcentral lists this unclassified non-coding RNA (282 nucleotides) under uncultured fungus. RNAcentral describes it as "sequence contains ITS1". Lineage: Eukaryota; Fungi. The record is from RNAcentral.
GUAUAGGUUUAAUGACUGCGACUAGCACAAUCUUUAAAAGACAUUCUGUAACUUUAUAGUGUAUAUGAAAACAUAGCCUUGAAGAAGAGCAAGCAGGGGAAGACCGGGUUAAGGGUCAGACCCCCAAACCGCAUUGCUGCGAAAGGGUUCGCUCUCUUCAAAGACUACAAAAGGUGCACAAGAGAAGAUAAAUAGACUGGACGAGCACAUGCCCAGUAAAGGGCCAGCAUCAGAACCAGAUCGUAUUCAAUAAUGAUCCUUCCGCAGGUUCACCUACGGAAA